AGCAGCCGCGGUAAUUCCAGCUCCAAUAGCGUAUAUUAAAGUUGUUGCAGUUAAAAAGCUCGUAGUUGAAUUUCGGGGUUAGUAGGUUGGUCAUGCCUCUGGUAUGUACUGAUCUCACUGAUUCCUCCCUCUUGACGAACUGUAAUGUCAUUAAUUUGGUGUUGCAGGAAAUCAGGACUGUUACUUUGAAAAAAUUAGAGUGUUUAAAGCAGGCUAAGGCUUGAAUACAUUAGCAUGGAAUAAUGAAAUAGGACGUUUGAUCCUAUUUUGUUGGUUUCUAGGAUUGACGUAAUGAUUAAUAGGGAUAGUUGGGGGCAUUAGUAUUCAAUUGUCAGAGGUGAAAUUCUUGGAUUUAUUGAAGACUAACUACUGCGAAAGCAUUUGCCAAGGAUGUUUUCAUUAAUCAAGAACGAAAGUUAGGGGAUCGAAGACGAUCAGAUACCGUCGUAGUCUUAACCAUAAACUAUGCCGACUAGGGAUCGGAUGAUGUUAAUUAUUUAAUGACUCA
RNAcentral lists this ribosomal RNA (508 nucleotides) under uncultured fungus. RNAcentral describes it as "SSU rRNA". It matches the Rfam family "Eukaryotic small subunit ribosomal RNA", at positions 569 to 1078 of the family's 1831-position model. Lineage: Eukaryota; Fungi. The record is from RNAcentral.